GAUGAACGCUGGCGGCGUGCUUAACACAUGCAAGUCGAGCGGUAACACAGAGAGCUUGCUCUCGGGUGACGAGCGGCGGACGGGUGAGUAAUGUCUGGGAAACUGCCUGAUGGAGGGGGAUAACUACUGGAAACGGUAGCUAAUACCGCAUAACGUCGCAAGACCAAAGAGGGGGACCUUCGGGCCUCUUGCCAUCAGAUGUGCCCAGAUGGGAUUAGCUAGUAGGUGGGGUAACGGCUCACCUAGGCGACGAUCCCUAGCUGGUCUGAGAGGAUGACCAGCCACACUGGAACUGAGACACGGUCCAGACUCCUACGGGAGGCAGCAGUGGGGAAUAUUGCACAAUGGGCGCAAGCCUGAUGCAGCCAUGCCGCGUGUAUGAAGAAGGCCUUCGGGUUGUAAAGUACUUUCAGCGGGGAGGAAGGUGUUGAGGUUAAUAACCUCAGCAAUUGACGUUACCCGCAGAAGAAGCACCGGCUAACUCCGUGCCAGCAGCCGCAGUAAAAC
This 507-nucleotide ribosomal RNA is filed under the name uncultured bacterium. Its description in RNAcentral is "bacterial SSU rRNA". It matches the Rfam family "Bacterial small subunit ribosomal RNA", at positions 28 to 526 of the family's 1533-position model. The record is from RNAcentral.